GAGAGUCGCAGAUACCAGGUGGCUGCAACUGUUUAUUAAAAACACAGCACUGUGCAAAAUCGUAAGAUGACGUAUACGGUGUGACGCCUGCCCGGUGCCGGAAGGUUAAUUGAUGGGGUUAGCGUAAGCGAAGCUCUUGAUCGAAGCCCCGGUAAACGGCGGCCGUAACUAUAACGGUCCUAAGGUAGCGAAAUUCCUUGUCGGGUAAGUUCCGACCUGCACGAAUGGCGUAAUGAUGGCCACGCUGUCUCCACCCGAGACUCAGUGAAAUUGAAAUCGCUGUGAAGAUGCAGUGUACCCGCGGCUAGACGGAAAGACCCCGUGAACCUUUACUACAGCUUGGCACUGAACAUUGAACCUACAUGUGUAGGAUAGGUGGGAGGCUUUGAAGACGUGACGCCAGUUGCGUUGGAGCCGUCCUUGAAAUACCACCCUUGUAUGUUUGAUGUUCUAACGUUGGCCCCUAAUCGGGGUUGCGGACAGUGCCUGGUGGGUAGUUUGACUGGGGCGGUCUCCUCCCAAAGAGUAACGGAGGAGCACGAAGGUGGGCUAAUCACGGUUGGACAUCGUGAGGUUAGUGCAAUGGCAUAAGCCCGCUUAACUGCGAGAAUGACGGUUCGAGCAGGUGCGAAAGCAGGUCAUAGUGAUCCGGUGGUUCUGAAUGGAAGGGCCAUCGCUCAACGGAUAAAAGGUACUCCGGGGAUAACAGGCUGAUACCGCCCAAGAGUUCAUAUCGACGGCGGUGUUUGGCACCUCGAUGUCGGCUCAUCACAUCCUGGGGCUGAAGUCGGUCCCAAGGGUAUGGCUGUUCGCCAUUUAAAGUGGUACGCGAGCUGGGUUUAGAACGUCGUGAGACAGUUCGGUCCCUAUCUGCCGUGGGCGUUGGAAGAUUGAAGGGGGCUGCUCCUAGUACGAGAGGACCGGAGUGGACGAACCUCUGGUGUUCGGGUUGUGUCGCCAGACGCAUUGCCCGGUAGCUAAGUUCGGAAUCGAUAACCGCUGAAAGCAUCUAAGCGGGAAGCGAGCCCUGAGAUGAGUCUUCCCUGAUACUUUAAGUAUCCUAAAGGGUUGUUCGAGACUAGAACGUUGAUAGGCAGGGUGUGUAAGCGCUGUGAGGCGUUGAGCUAACCUGUACUAAUUGCCCGUGAGGCUUAACCAU
RNAcentral lists this ribosomal RNA (1159 nucleotides) under Vibrio vulnificus. Its description in RNAcentral is "bacterial LSU rRNA". It matches the Rfam family "Bacterial large subunit ribosomal RNA", at positions 1772 to 2925 of the family's 2925-position model. Lineage: Bacteria; Pseudomonadati; Pseudomonadota; Gammaproteobacteria; Vibrionales; Vibrionaceae. The record is from RNAcentral.